Non-coding RNA from Ornithorhynchus anatinus (platypus), 390 nucleotides. The record is from the annotation of a RefSeq genome assembly. Lineage: Eukaryota; Metazoa; Chordata; Mammalia; Monotremata; Ornithorhynchidae.
AUGGUCUCCAGGGCUCAGCUCCUCUGCCUUUUGCUGCUCUGGGCCCAAGAAUCCAAUGGGGAUAUUGUACUCACUCAAUCUCCAGAUUUCCUAACAGCCACUCCAGGAGACCAAGUCAAAAUCAACUGCAAAGCCAGUUCCAGUGUUAGCAAUGAUAUGGCCUGGUACCGGCAGAAACCAGGACAAGCUCCCAAGCUCCUCAUCAAUUAUGGAAACAACCGUCCUUCUGGGGUCCCAGACCGGUUCAGCAGCAGUGGAUCAGGAACCAACAUCAUUUUCACCAUCAGCAGGGUAGAAACCGAUGAUGGCGGAGAUUAUUACUGUCAGCAGCAUAACAGCUACCCUUGCACAGUGCUCCAGCCUGCUACAAAAACCUCCCUGGGCUAUUAG